RNAcentral lists this ribosomal RNA (253 nucleotides) under uncultured bacterium. Its description in RNAcentral is "partial 16S ribosomal RNA". It matches the Rfam family "Bacterial small subunit ribosomal RNA", at positions 524 to 776 of the family's 1533-position model. The record is from RNAcentral.
UACGUAGGGAGCAAGCGUUGUCCGGAAUCAUUGGGCGUAAAGGGCGCGUAGGCGGCCUGAUAAGUAGGGGGUGAAAUCUUGCGGCUUAACCGCAAGGCUGCCUUCUAAACUGUCAGGCUCGAGCACAGUAGAGGCAGGUGGAAUUCCCGGUGUAGCGGUGGAAUGCGUAGAGAUCGGGAAGAACAUCAGUGGCGAAGGCGGCCUGCUGGGCUGUUGCUGACGCUGAGGCGCGACAGCGUGGGGAGCAAACAGG